CUCCUACGGGACGCAGCAGUGGGGGAUAUUGCACAAUGGGGGGAACCCUGAUGCAGCGACGCCGCGUGGGCGAUGGAGCGCCUCGGCGCGUAAAGCCCUAUCAGCAGGGAAGAAGAUGACGGUACCUGACUAAGAAGCCCCGGCUAACUACGUGCCAGCAGCCGCGGUAAUACGUAGGGGGCAAGCGUUAUCCGGAUUUACUGGGUGUAAAGGGAGCGUAGACGGUUGUGCAAGUCUGAAGUGAAAGCCCGCGGCUCAACUGCGGAACGGCUUUGGAAACUGUGUAACUGGAGUGCUGGAGAGGG
This 305-nucleotide ribosomal RNA is filed under the name uncultured bacterium. RNAcentral's name for it is "bacterial SSU rRNA". It matches the Rfam family "Bacterial small subunit ribosomal RNA", at positions 336 to 658 of the family's 1533-position model. The record is from RNAcentral.